UUGCUUCAGCAGCACAUAUAUUAAAAUUGGAAUGAUAUAGAGGAGAUUAGCAUGGCUGCUGCGCAAGGAUGACAUGCAAAUUUGUGAAGCGUUCCAUAUUUUU
This is a small nuclear RNA of Molossus molossus (Pallas's mastiff bat), 103 nucleotides long. The record is from RefSeq and is a predicted model, not a curated record. NCBI's taxonomy places the organism in Eukaryota, Metazoa, Chordata, Mammalia, Chiroptera, Molossidae.